AACGCACCUUGCGCUCCUUGGUAUUCCGAGGAGCAUGCCUGUUUGAGUGUCAUGGAAUUCUCAACCGUGUCCUCGAUCUGAUCUCGAGGCAUGACUUGGACUUGGGAGUUGCUGGCGGCCUCGUCAGCUCUCCUCAAACACAUUAGCGAUGUUCAGCAAGCCUGACGUGCACGGCCUUUUUUCGACGUGAUAACGAUCGUCGUGGGCUGGAGCGGUAGGGUGUGCGGUGAAUCGCUUCCAAUUCCUUAGACUUUUGGUCCUUUUCACUUUGAAAGGGAUCAAUCACGGUCUUUUCGAUCUCGAUCUUGAUGGGGGGGGAAAACCUUUGACCUUCGAGAGACCCAAGCCUUAGUUACUAGUCGGUCGUGAGGCCAACGAACGCAAGGGCCUAGGUUUGAAACUUUGAAGCAAUCGUAGUUCCCCUCUGUCUCGAUCCUGGAUCAUUUGAACUCUUGACCUCAAAUCAGGUAGGACUACCCGCUGAACUUAA
RNAcentral lists this unclassified non-coding RNA (490 nucleotides) under uncultured Boletus. RNAcentral's name for it is "sequence contains ITS2". The stretch from base 1 to 52 matches the Rfam family "5.8S ribosomal RNA", at positions 103 to 154 of the family's 154-position model. The record is from RNAcentral. Lineage: Eukaryota; Fungi; Basidiomycota; Agaricomycetes; Boletales; Boletaceae.